GAAGCUGCCUGGGCACUAACAAACAUCGCCUCUGGAACCUCUCAGCAGACAAGAAUUGUUAUUGAAGCAGGAGCUGUCCCGAUUUUUAUAGAGCUGCUUAACUCAGACUUUGAGGAUGUACAAGAACAGGCAGUCUGGGCUCUGGGAAACAUAGCUGGAGACAGUUCCGUUUGCCGAGAUUACGUCUUGAACUGCUCCAUCCUUAAUCCUUUGUUAACACUCCUUACCAAGUCCACAAGACUGACAAUGACACGAAACACAGUUUGGGCCCUGUCAAACCUUUGCCGAAGGAAGAACCCACCCCCAGAGUUCGCAAAGGUCUCUCCGUGUUUGCCCAUAUUAUCUCGCCUACUCUUCAGCAGUGAUUCAGACUUGCUGGCAGAUGCUUGCUGGGCCCUCUCUUACCUGUCUGAUGGCCCCAGCGAGAAGAUCCAGGCAGUUAUAGACUCUGGAGUAUGCCGGAGAUUGGUAGAGCUUCUGAUGCACAAUGAUUACAAAGUGGCUUCUCCUGCUCUGAGAGCUGUGGAUAACAUCGUCACAGGGGAUGACAUCCAGACACAGGUCAUUCUUAACUGUUCAGCCCUCCCUUGCCUCCUCCACUUAUUGAGCAGCUCCAAGGAAUCAAUUCAAAAAGAAGCUUGCUGGACCAUUUCAAACAUCACUGCUGGCAACAGGGCUCAAAUACAGGCUGUCAUAGAUGCAAAUAUCUUCCCUGUGUUGAUUGAAAUCCUUCAGAAAGCAGAGUUCCGUACAAGGAAAGAAGCAGCCUGGGCCAUCACCAACACCACAUCAGGAGGAACUCCUGAGCAGAUCAGGUACCUAGUUUCACUGGGCUGCAUCAAACCCCUGUGUGACUUGCUGACUGUAAUGGAUUCAAAGAUUGUACAAGUGGCCCUCAAUGGACUAGAGAACAUCCUGCAGCUUGGAGAGCAGGAGAGCAAGCGGAGUGGCUCAGGGGUCAAUCCCUACUGUGGCCUCAUCGAGGAAGCCUAUGGCUUGGAUAAAAUCGAGUUUCUUCAGAGCCACGAGAACCAGGAGAUCUACCAGAAGGCCUUCGACCUCAUUGAGCACUACUUCGGUGUAGAGGAUGAUGACGGCAGCCUGGCUCCUCAAGUAGAUGAAACACAGCAGCAGGUCAUCUUCCAGCAGCCUAAGGCCCCCAUGGAGGGCUUCCAGCUAUAAUGUCUGCCUCUGGGGAGGGGAGGGGAGGGGACGGGAAGCACCACCAGCCAGUGGUAGAGCAGCCCUCUGGUGGGCAGGAAGCCAGCCCCCGCCAUCACCUGCUGCCCUGGAGACUGUGCUCCAGACCUGCACCACCCCCUUCCCUGGAGGGAGGCCCUCUGGACAGACAGAACCAUCUGAGGCUCACAUUGGGUUU
Molecule: RNA transcript, 1378 nt
Organism: Octodon degus (degu)
Lineage: Eukaryota; Metazoa; Chordata; Mammalia; Rodentia; Octodontidae
Gene name: importin subunit alpha-7 pseudogene
Exons: 1
Source: RefSeq, a predicted model, not a curated record